GAUUAUGCCGGGCGUGCAAUGGCACGUCUGGAUGCUUCCGGGGAAAUAAGUAUGCCUGCCGACAUGGGAAUGGGAAUGAUGAAAAGACGGAAAGCUAUGAAGCUGCUGGUGGCACGCGUCGCCUUGCUUGAUUCUCCUUGGACAGGGGUACUUGACCGACGAUACUUCCAGCGCAAACCAUUCUCUUCUCCCGGAUCGAUUCCUCGGCUUUCCCCUCCCCUCCCUUCCCUUCCUUUCCAUAAUCCCUCCAUUUAACCCCAUCCGCUUGCCUCGCUCUGCCUGCCUCAUCCUCGUGCUUAAGCUUCUCGCCAUCAGCUGGAGAGACAUCUCGAGCAGAGCAACAGGAGGAGCCACAGCUUCAGCCUUGUGGUCGCACAUAUACAGUAGGCGGCGCGCGGCAAGAUGCAGAUGGUACUGGUGAUCUCGCUGCCCCUGGUGGCGCUGGUGGUGAUCAUCGCCAUCAUCCUCUGCAUCGUCUGCCGUUGACCAGCCAGGCAGCUAGCUCGCGCGCGGCUUGCCGGAUGUAGCACCAUGUAGCCUCCUAGUCGGUGUUGUUGCCGCGCCCGUCUCAUGCUGUCGUGGUGUGUUUUGUCUGCAGCCCUGCUCGGUGUGUGUGAUCUUUUCUCCUGCUAGCUUCUCGAUGUGAAAUGUACUAUUGAUUGAUCCAUGUGUCUGGUCGUGUGUGUGAGUGUGUUAGUACAGUACAUACUACUACCAGUCUACCAUGUAAUGUAAGCUCUUGACUUGUCUCAAAAAAAAAAAAAGUAAGCUCCUGAUGAUUCUUCAGAUAUUGGUGAAAAGCAGAGUGUGAUCCUGCUCCCGCCUUUUUCCUUGUCAUACUUCGUGAGAAUGUGUGUGUUAUAUGUCGAAAGACGUUUGCCUCAUAAACUGAACCAGCCUUCUUUCCUCUCAUCAAUGAAUUUGACAGAAUAACUACUACCAACAUUCGAAAAAAAAAAGCAGAGUGUGAUCGCCGCGUCUGUCUGUCGUCUGCGCUCACGCCUGGUCGCUCGUCCAACCAGGCGCACGCACGUGGUUCGCCGUCCACCAGACGCAGACGUCUCUCUGACAUCUGGGCCCGGGCAUGGUGCCGGAGCCCUCGGUUCACACUUGGGAGCCGCACGUCACGCGUUUUUCCGCUUCUACUUUCUUCUCCAUCCCACUGCACUCUUCUUCUCUGCCUGAUUAGUGAUUAGUUUAGCCCACGCACCACCAGUUGCCCCAUCGCCAAGCUCCAUUUGCUCUGCUCCUCCCCUCCGUCUCCCUCCAAAGCUAUCGUCUCCAGCAGAUCGAGGAGGCCAGGAGCACCAACAAGAUCAGCGGCUCGACUGUGCUAGGCAGGUAAGCGGCGGAUGGAGUUCGUGCUGAUCAUAUCCCUGCCGCUCCUCAUCCUGAUCCUCAUCAUCGCGGUCGUCCUCUGCAUCGUCUGCCGCUAGGCACAUGCGGACGCCGAAGCGCUCAGUCUGCGCUGACUGUGAUCACACCAUAUGUUGUGUUAAUCAACCCAAUAUUAAUUACACCAUGACUCGAUAGAGAAAAAGAAAGCUCUUCUCCUCCACCAUUUCUACUUUUCUGUUCUGUCACUGUGGUGUGAUUAGCUGGCUCUAAACUUUAUUGGCUUUCGUGGUGGCAACAAAAGCAUCAAUCCCGGGUGUCGAUGCUCAACGCAUAUGAUAUAUGUGGCUGUAAAAAAUAGCAAAUUCCCUUCCUGCUCCGAUUGAUUCGGGGAGGUUGGAUAUCUGAAAGUCUCAUCUUAUUUUUUUA
Molecule: long non-coding RNA, 1764 nt
Organism: Hordeum vulgare subsp. vulgare (domesticated barley)
Lineage: Eukaryota; Viridiplantae; Streptophyta; Magnoliopsida; Poales; Poaceae
Exons: 3
Source: RefSeq, a predicted model, not a curated record